CGAAACAGAAAAUUAUUAUAUAUAUUAAUUAUACAUGUAAGUUUUAGUCUUAUUGCAACCCUGAAGCAUUUUAAUGUUGAAGUACAUAGUCACAGCAAAACCUAACAUAAGACCAUACCCUUUAAUUAGUAAGUACUGAUCACUUGUUUCUAUAUAUAUAAUACAAUACCAACACCAAGAGUACGAUAUAUAAUAUUUACCAAGCACGACGAAUUGGUUUUCCUUUGGGAUAAUAAUCCACUAAAACUUUCCCACCAUAGCGUUGAGCUGCUUCUUUGCUAUCGAUAACAGGUAGUGGAGCGGGUGAAGGAGCUGGGUUUACCACCUGAGGCUGAUGAGGCGGCCUCCCAAACCUUUUGGGUCUUCCCAAAUAUUCAUCCAAAGCAGGAAAUGCUUCCAACCCAAUUUUAGCAAGAUCAACUUGACGUGCCAUAUCUAAGCAAUUCCUCUCAAGACUUCACUCACAACAAG
Molecule: unclassified non-coding RNA, 471 nt
Filed under: Hevea brasiliensis (rubber tree)
Lineage: Eukaryota; Viridiplantae; Streptophyta; Magnoliopsida; Malpighiales; Euphorbiaceae
Source: RNAcentral